Molecule: ribosomal RNA, 1286 nt
Filed under: uncultured bacterium
Lineage: Bacteria
Description: bacterial SSU rRNA
Rfam family: Bacterial small subunit ribosomal RNA
Source: RNAcentral
GAGUAACACGUGGAUAACCUACCUAUAAGACUGGGAUAACUUCGGGAAACCGGAGCUAAUACCGGAUAAUAUUUUGAACCGCAUGGUUCAAAAGUGAAAGACGGUCUUGCUGUCACUUAUAGAUGGAUCCGCGCUGCAUUAGCUAGUUGGUAAGGUAACGGCUUACCAAGGCAACGAUGCAUAGCCGACCUGAGAGGGUGAUCGGCCACACUGGAACUGAGACACGGUCCAGACUCCUACGGGAGGCAGCAGUAGGGAAUCUUCCGCAAUGGGCGAAAGCCUGACGGAGCAACGCCGCGUGAGUGAUGAAGGUCUUCGGAUCGUAAAACUCUGUUAUUAGGGAAGAACAUAUGUGUAAGUAACUGUGCACAUCUUGACGGUACCUAAUCAGAAAGCCACGGCUAACUACGUGCCAGCAGCCGCGGUAAUACGUAGGUGGCAAGCGUUAUCCGGAAUUAUUGGGCGUAAAGCGCGCGUAGGCGGUUUUUUAGUCUGAUGUGAAAGCCCACGGCUCAACCGUGGAGGGUCAUUGGAAACUGGAAAACUUGAGUGCAGAAGAGGAAAGUGGAAUUCCAUGUGUAGCGGUGAAAUGCGCAGAGAUAUGGAGGAACACCAGUGGCGAAGGCGACUUUCUGGUCUGUAACUGACGCUGAUGUGCGAAAGCGUGGGGAUCAAACAGGAUUAGAUACCCUGGUAGUCCACGCCGUAAACGAUGAGUGCUAAGUGUUAGGGGGUUUCCGCCCCUUAGUGCUGCAGCUAACGCAUUAAGCACUCCGCCUGGGGAGUACGACCGCAAGGUUGAAACUCAAAGGAAUUGACGGGGACCCGCACAAGCGGUGGAGCAUGUGGUUUAAUUCGAAGCAACGCGAAGAACCUUACCAAAUCUUGACAUCCUUUGACAACUCUAGAGAUAGAGCCUUCCCCUUCGGGGGACAAAGUGACAGGUGGUGCAUGGUUGUCGUCAGCUCGUGUCGUGAGAUGUUGGGUUAAGUCCCGCAACGAGCGCAACCCUUAAGCUUAGUUGCCAUCAUUAAGUUGGGCACUCUAAGUUGACUGCCGGUGACAAACCGGAGGAAGGUGGGGAUGACGUCAAAUCAUCAUGCCCCUUAUGAUUUGGGCUACACACGAGCUACAAUGGACAAUACAAAGGGCAGCGAAACCGCGAGGUCAAGCAAAUCCCAUAAAGUUGUUCUCAGUUCGGAUUGUAGUCUGCAACUCGACUACAUGAAGCUGGAAUCGCUAGUAAUCGUAGAUCAGCAUGCUACGGUGAAUACGUUCCCGGGUCU